RNAcentral lists this ribosomal RNA (591 nucleotides) under uncultured archaeon. RNAcentral's name for it is "partial 16S ribosomal RNA". It matches the Rfam family "Archaeal small subunit ribosomal RNA", at positions 296 to 765 of the family's 1478-position model. The record is from RNAcentral.
CGAUACCAACUUUUGUGCACUAUUCCACGCAAGCCUAUGCAUCCACGCGGCUUGUGGAGCCUGCCCAUUAUGGUCGCACCUUGCUAGGCGGCUCGCCCCUAGUUGAUUACAGGUGGCGCUACAGGCCCGAAAACUUUGCACAAUCACACGUAAGCUGUGACAAGGCUUAUCCCGGAGAUGCCAAUCCCGCGUGGAGGUAAGGCGUUUUACCCGAGCUAUAAAUAGCGUGGGGAGUAAUAAGGAGAGGGCAAGUCGUGGAGUUCCAGCCGCCGCGGUAAUACCAGCCUCAUCCGAGUAGCUGUGGAUGUUUAUUGGGCCUAAAGCAUCCGUAGCCUUGCUAAGCAAGGUCCCCUGUUUAAAUCCACCGAAUUCAACUUGGCUGGAUUGCCCGGGGAAUACUGGUUUGGCUAGUGACACUGGAGAGGGCCCGACUGCUAUUUUCCGGGUUAGGGGUGAAAUCCUAUAAUCCCGGGAAGACCACCAAGUGGCGAAGGCUGUCAGGCAUAGAACGCGCCACGGUGAGGAAUUAAAGCUGGGGCCAGCAACCGGGAAUUAGAUACCCGGGUAGUCCCACCUGUUAAACGAAUGCCA